This 2021-nucleotide long non-coding RNA is filed under the name Malus domestica (apple). Its description in RNAcentral is "long non-coding RNA (MDOM_LNC001400)". The record is from RNAcentral. Lineage: Eukaryota; Viridiplantae; Streptophyta; Magnoliopsida; Rosales; Rosaceae.
UUCAUUUGUCCACAUUAAAUUUUGAUUUGUCUGCAAAGAAGAACGGACAAAUAUUUUUCAAAUAAUUAACUCCUUUAAAUGGAAUCUUGUUCUCCUCGACUUUAGGGUCUAAAAAAAUUGCGGUCUUAAUCCCUUAAUGGAGAAGAAAGUACCAUACCAAAAGUUAAAUUACAUGUUACGACUUUUACUGUCCGAAUGCUUUUUUCCCGCCAGGGGCAAAAAAGUGGGCCAAUUAGUAGUUUUACAACUUUGAUGGUUUUAAAAUUCUUUUACUCUUCCUUCAAGUGCCCCCUUAAAACAGCAGAAGGCAAGUGAACUCUUCCUAAACGCAUCGGCAGCCGAAUGUGCACAAGUGGCUUCCGAACUGCGAAAUAACAUCCACAAGACCACCGUAACCUCCUACUGCGGUAACCUGAACAAAACAACGGUUCAAUGACGUGAGAACUGAAAAAGAGUUUGGCUAAGUAAUGAAGUUAAAAGUUUCAUUCCAGUGGCCAUGGGCGACCAGCCAACAAGGCUCCCCGCUUUGCGAGGUUCGGAAGAGAAUUUCUAUCGUUCACAGCCUUACUCUAGUGACCAUGGCGGCUAAAAAAGAAUAUUUAAGGUUUACGCUAGCCACACCUAUUAUUUAUAGGAAUGAGUCGAGGACAAAAUCUAUACAAAAGGAUUCAAAAAGCUAGAUGGUUUUGAUUACUUGUGUCACUCAACCUACUUUGAGAUAUAUAAUCUUCAAUCCAAGGAUAAUGUUGGUAAGACCAACAUUUAAGACGGAAAACGCUUAAAUAAAAGUUAUUUACAGAUAUCAAAGUGAAAGAGACAUCAAAUAAACAUACCCCAGAUGGAUGUAAUGUAUUUUAAGCAUCCACAAAUCUCAUCUCUCACCAUUUAAAGCAACCUACUUUGAGUUUAUAACAUUUCUCAUGUAUUUAAUUAGAAUUUAAAUUUAAAGAAUUUGGAAAAGUUCAGGAAUUAUAAGAAAUUAGAGAGAUUUUGUAGUGUAUUUUAAGCAUCCACAAAUCUCAUCUCUCACCAUGAAAUUUCGAGGGAAUUGAAUCAAAAUUUUAUAUGGAAUCUCUACAAAUCAGUUAAACUCUAUAAAAACUCAUGAAUUUAUAAAUCCAUUAAAAUCUCUCAAAUUCCUAAUUGACUACACCCCCUAAAACUCACAUCCGACACUAUUUUUCUUAACUGUAAGUCAUGAUUUUAAAUAAACACGACAAUAUCUCAUUAAAAAACAAUUCAUUUGUCCACAUUAGAUUUUGAUUUGUCUGCAAAGAAGAAUGGACAAAUAUUUUUCAAAUAAUGAACUCUUUUAAAUGGAAUCUCGUUCUCCUCGACUUUAGGGUCUAAAAAAAUUGCGGUCUUAACUUAAUGGAGAAGAAAGUGCUAUACCAAAAGUUAAAUUACCGAAUACUUUUUUCCCGCCAGGGGCAAAAAAGUGGGCCAAUUAGUAGUUUUACAACUUUUAUGGUUUUAAAAUUUUUUUACUCUUCCUUCAGGUGCCCCCUUAAAACAGCAGAAGGCAAGUGAAAUCUUCCUAAACGCAUCGGCAGCCGAAUGUGCACAAGUGGCUUCCGAACUGCGAAAUAACAUCCACAAGACCACCGUAACCUCCUACUGCGGUAACCUGAACAAAACAACGGUUCAAUGACGUGAGAACUGAAAAAGAGUUUGGCUAAGUAAUGAAGUUAAAAGUUUCAUUCCAGUGACCAUGGGCGACCAGCCAACAAAGCUCCCCGCUUUGCGAGGUUCGGAGGAGAACUUCUAUCGUUCGCAGCCUUACUCUAGUGACCAUGGCGGCUAAAAAAGAAUAUUUAAGGUUUAUGCUAGCCACACCUAUUAUUUAUAGGAAUGAGUCGAGGAAAAAAGCUAUACAAAAGGAUUCGAAAAGCCAGAUGGUUUUGAUUACUUGUGUCACUCAACCUACUUUGAGAUACAUAAUCUUCAAUCCAAGGAUAAUGCUGGUAAGACCAACAUUUAAGACGGAAAACGCUUAAAUAAAAGUUAUUUAAAGAUAUCAA